Molecule: long non-coding RNA, 1666 nt
Filed under: Sus scrofa (pig)
Lineage: Eukaryota; Metazoa; Chordata; Mammalia; Artiodactyla; Suidae
Description: lncRNA (ENSSSCG00055008870.1)
Source: RNAcentral
AUGGAUCUCAUUGGGAAUCGGGUCCUUGUGGACAUAAUUCAGGUGAGAGGACUCUCCUGGGUUGGGGCGGCCCUAAAUCCACCGAGAGUGAGGGAGACAUGGGGAGAGGAGGCCUGUGAAGCCGGCGGCAGAGACGGAGCACGUGGCCCCGAGCCCAGGAGCCGGGGCCACCAGGUGCAGGAAGGGGCCGGCCCAGAGCCUUUGCAGGGACCUGACCCCGAUGUCCAGCCUCCAGGGCUGAGGCUCAGCUGCCGCAUCCGAGAUGUCUCCUUGGAAGCUGACACAAGAGGCCUGGAGACCCCUGGGGAGUGCCGACUCCUGGGCCGCCCCGGGCGCUGUGGACUCAGAGUUCUGGGUGGGCAGCCUCGGCGGCCCCUCGCUGCCCCUCGGCAGCCUCUUCCUCCCUCCUGGACCAGGCAGGUGGACGGGCAGCAGCGCGGGGGACGGUCCUCAAAGCUGCCUGUGCAUCCAAGUUCGCGACCUGCUGCUCCCUGGGAUCCCACGGGGGACGUUCUGUCCGCCUACCCCCGACCUAAGACCUCCGUGAGCCAGACUCCAGCAUCCAGGGCUUGUCCAGAAGGUGCAGGCGGGCAGGCUCCAUCCGGCGAGGGCCAGACUUUUUCCACUUUCAGAGAGAUGUGGUCACUUCAACAUCCCGGUGCGUGACCGGCUUCUUUCCCUCAAGCACCGGUGGCGCUGUCCCAUCACGCGAGGUCCAUUUGGUCCUUUGGCAGCAGCUUCUGACAGGUGUGGCGUCUGGGUGUCGCGUGGGUGUACUGACCAGGCCAGUGGGUGGACACUGGGCCGCCAAGAGGGUGCCUGCACUUUUGCACCUUUGGGGUCACACCGUCGGAGUGGGGGCUGGGUCAGAGGUGGGGCACAGCUCACGGCAUGGAGGGUCUUCCUGGACAGCCCCCUCCCCACAAUGGGGGGGAGCUCACAGAGCGGAGGGGGGGCGGCUGGAGGCCCUGGAGGAAGGCCAGCAUUGGGCAGGUCCUGCUGGAAUCCAGCCCUGGUUUGAUGUUCCCUUUGACGGUCUGCCUAUAGGACACUUUGGUCUGCAGCAGCCAGUAGCCCAGCUUCCACUCCGGGGAAAGAGCGUCUCUCCGGCACCAUCAGGGGCAGCCUUGACCUGGCAGGUCAGGGAGGCCAGUGGGAGCCUGACGCAUCCACCCAAACGCACCCCCUGGCUGUGCACCCAUCUGUCGUCCCCCAGCCCGUCCUCUCCUCUCAGGGGGCGGGCACCACUCUGCACACUGACCCCCUUCCCUUGCUCACCCUUCAUCCAUCCUUCACGCUUUUUAUUUUAUUUUUUGUCUUUUGUUAUUUUCAGGGCUGCACCUGCAGCAUAUGGAGGUUCCCAGGCUAGGCGUUGAAUCAGAGCUGUAGCUGCCCGGCCACAGCCAUGCCAGAUCCAAUUCGCAUGUGCGACCUACGCCACAGCUCACGGCAAUGCCGGGUCCUGAACCCACGGAGCAAGGCCGGGGAUCGAACCCGCAACCUCAUGGUUCCUGGUUGGAUUCGCUUCCGCUGUGCCACGACGGGAACUCCCACUCUUUCCAUCCUCUCGCCCAGCCACCCACAUCAGUUAUUCGUGUGUAGCCAACAACCUCAACGCUUAGUGGCUUUGAAAAGUAAGGAACAGGCGCGGGGGAGCAAGCAAGAG